This 253-nucleotide ribosomal RNA is filed under the name uncultured bacterium. RNAcentral describes it as "partial 16S ribosomal RNA". It matches the Rfam family "Bacterial small subunit ribosomal RNA", at positions 524 to 776 of the family's 1533-position model. The record is from RNAcentral.
UACGUAGGGGGCAAGCGUUGUCCGGAGUUACUGGGCGUAAAGCGCACGCAGGCGGUCUUUUAAGUUUGGAGUGACAGUUGGUGGCUUAACUGCCAAAGUGCUUCGAAAACUGAAAGACUUGAGGGCUUCAGAGGGACACGGAAUUCCGGGUGGAGUGGUGAAAUGCGCAGAUAUCGGGAGGAACACCGGUGGCGAAGGCGGUUCUCUGGGCCUUACCUGACGCUGAGGAGCGAAAGCGUGGGGAGCGAACAGG